GCAUGCUUAUAUGAUUACUUUACCUUGUAAUAUAUGACCAAUAUGAUAUGUAAUGUGUUAAGCAACAUGUUAUGUGAUGACUUGAUUCUUAUAAGUGUAGACUCAUAUUAGUUUACACAUACUAAUUGAAAAGACCGACUUGUUAACGUUAGGUCGUUUCAACGCAAGUUAAUUAAAGCUAGAAUUAAAUUGUAGCUGAGCAAACAGGCAAGUUCCCU
Molecule: long non-coding RNA, 218 nt
Filed under: Panax ginseng (ginseng)
Lineage: Eukaryota; Viridiplantae; Streptophyta; Magnoliopsida; Apiales; Araliaceae
Description: long non-coding RNA (PGIN_LNC004979)
Source: RNAcentral